Molecule: ribosomal RNA, 473 nt
Filed under: uncultured bacterium
Lineage: Bacteria
Description: bacterial SSU rRNA
Rfam family: Bacterial small subunit ribosomal RNA
Source: RNAcentral
AGAGUUUGAUCCUGGCUCAGGAUGAACGCUGGCGGCGUAGCCUAACACAUGCAAGUCGAGCGAUCUUCUUCGGAAGAGAGCGGCGGACGGGUGAGUAACGCGUGGGUAACCUGCCUCAUACACAUGGAUAACAUACCGAAAGGUAUGCUAAUACAAGAUGAUAUAAGAGAUUCGCAUGGAUUUCUUAUCAAAGCUCCGGCGGUAUGAGAUGGACCCGCGUCUGAUUAGCUAGUUGGUAAGGUAAUGGCUUACCAAGGCGACGAUCAGUAGCCGACCUGAGAGGGUGAUCGGCCACAUUGGAACUGAGACACGGUCCAAACUCCUACGGGAGGCAGCAGUGGGGAAUAUUGCACAAUGGGCGAAAGCCUGAUGCAGCAACGCCGCGUGAGCGAUGAAGGCCUUCGGGUCGUAAAGCUCUGUCCUCAAGGAAGAUAAUGACGGUACUUGAGGAGGAAGCCCCGGCUAACUACGUG